RNAcentral lists this transfer RNA (70 nucleotides) under Aphredoderus sayanus (pirate perch). RNAcentral describes it as "tRNA-Thr". It matches the Rfam family "tRNA". From Rfam's summary of the family: Transfer RNA (tRNA) molecules are approximately 80 nucleotides in length. Their secondary structure includes four short double-helical elements and three loops (D, anti-codon, and T loops). Further hydrogen bonds mediate the characteristic L-shaped molecular structure. tRNAs have two regions of fundamental functional importance: the anti-codon, which is responsible for specific mRNA codon recognition, and the 3' end, to which the tRNAs corresponding amino acid is attached (by aminoacyl-tRNA synthetases). tRNAs cope with the degeneracy of the genetic code in two manners: having more than one tRNA (with a specific anti-codon) for a particular amino acid; and 'wobble' base-pairing, i.e. permitting non-standard base-pairing at the 3rd anti-codon position. The record is from RNAcentral. Lineage: Eukaryota; Metazoa; Chordata; Actinopteri; Percopsiformes; Aphredoderidae.
GCACUAGUAGCUCAAAUAGAGCACCGGCCUUGUAAGCCGGGGGUUGAAGGUUAGACUCCCUCCUACUGCU